UAUCCCAUCGAUCGAUAUGUGUUAAUGGCUUACGGCACCAAUUAUUCACAGGGUCACUGUGGAUCUAUAUAUUGUGGCAGAUUAACCAUUCAUUAUUUCUAGUUGCAACCUAGGCCAUUGGAUUGUUAUUGGAAUCAGCAAUUAAUCAUGUUUUUUAAAGUUGGGUACCUUCUCUUGGUUUGUGUGUACUGUGUGUCUGGCCAGGCUGUGUCAGCUGAGACAGACAAUGCUUCCGUUGAAACAAACUCAGCUCCUGAUGACGAAGGCGGUAAUUCGAAAGUCAAUGAUUUUUAGGAAUCUCUAAAUAAUGUA
Long non-coding RNA from Biomphalaria glabrata, 312 nucleotides. RefSeq lists it as uncharacterized. The transcript is spliced from 2 exons. The record is from RefSeq and is a predicted model, not a curated record. Lineage: Eukaryota; Metazoa; Mollusca; Gastropoda; Planorbidae.